GGUGGAAUGAUUUUGGUCAGUGACUGUCCAUGUUUGACUCUCUCACUCUAGAGGGAGGAGGAUGAUGACGCUGACGAAGGUGGAACUGAGAUUUACUGUGCAUUUAGACCGAGAGGAGGGUGUUCUGAUUCACUCUGUUCUCUUUAAGCUUCAUCUACAUUAAUAUUUGAGCCUUCGUUUCUCAUUAAUAAUCACAUAUUAAAAGAGAAGGCUUUUCCCCAAAAUGGUUUGAUUCUUCAAACUGGUUUAGUUUGUUUUUCUCAGGCAGUGUUAUCCGUAAUCAUCGAUAACAUUUUUACAGUAAAUUGAUUGACCUAAUUCUCUUUAUAAAAUGUUCCUGAUAAUAAUAAUGCCCCCAUUAAUCUCUAUUGAUCUGUUUUUAUAUCAAAGUUAUGCAAUUAUUUGCCACUUAUGGGUCAUUCUCACAAAGAAAUAUCAGGGUCAUAUUUUACCCCAAAAAUGAAAGGAAAAAAUAUUUUUUAAUUUUAAUGUGAAGGAAAAAAAUUACAGUAUGAUGAAAAUGAUUGUAUAUGGCAUGAUAUAUUUAUUAUUAAUAAAUGCUAAUUUAAUUAAAUACAACAAAUACUACUAUGAUAUACACUACAAACGCACUUUGAAAAUGUGCAAAUGCAUGUGUACAUUUAUAAAUCAUGUAUAUAUUUUUUCAAACAUAAGUCAUGAAAAUUUGGAGAAAUUAGUUGCAAAAGAAAAUCUUAUUGGUCCUAAAAAUGUACUUAUGUUUCUUGUUUGGGUGGUGAAAUAUGAGCCUGGCAUUUCCUGACAGUUUUCAUGAGAUUCUACCUUCUAGUGUUAAGGCCUUCUGAUUGCCGGCCCUGUAAAUACGAGGUCUGCAAUAUUAUAUACUGUUAAGAGACUUUGAGUUUUUUUUUUUUUUUGAGUUUGAUUCUGCCAAAUACACAAGGAGGAGUUAGAGGAAGUUACCUGGUCUUAUGAUUUUGCUCCAGGCGGUAAUAGACAAGGUGCAAAUGAAGACCAGUGUUUUUGUAUAGUAGUAUAGACUUUAAAAGAGGUUUUAAGGGCCCAAAGAGACUCCAGAUGGUUCUAAAGCUAUAAACUGCUCAUUCAUCGCAUUCGGAUGUUUCGUUCCAGGUCAGUGCUGAGACAGUUUCAUGUGUUGGUUGUUCUGGAGCUGAACGUCUGGUAAUGAAACCGAUCGGAGCAACCUCGGCCUGAUGAAAGUAUUGGCCACGGCACAAAGAACAAGAUCAGCUCCUUCAUGCUGUGAAUAAUGAAACAGGAGGAGGAGCUGCCAGAGAUGAUGUCUUCACUUAGAAACAGCGUUUUCCAGGUCAAACUCUCUCAUUUGCUAAAUCACAGACUUUCUCUCUCUCCCACACAUGCCACACACUCUCAAAUCAAACUCAUGAACGAUGUACAGUGUAUUAUUUAAUAAGCACUUUUUAUGAAGACUCCUGUUUCCAGGCUUUUUUUAGCUGAUGAUCUGCAUCUCUUGUAUGAACUGAACACUGUUGUAAUGUAAGAGCAAACAGUACAUAUUAAAACACAUCUGAGAAGU
This is a long non-coding RNA of Rhinichthys klamathensis goyatoka, 1537 nucleotides long. RefSeq lists it as uncharacterized. The transcript has 2 exons. NCBI's taxonomy places the organism in Eukaryota, Metazoa, Chordata, Actinopteri, Cypriniformes, Leuciscidae. The record is from RefSeq and is a predicted model, not a curated record.